UACGGAGGGUGCAAGCGUUGUUCGGAUUUACUGGGCGUAAAGCGCGCGCAGGUGGGUGAACAAGUCGGAAGUGAAAUCUUGAGGCUCAACCUCGAGGCUGCUCCCGAAACUGUUCGCCUAGGGACUGGUAGAGGCUGGUAGAAUUCCCGGUGUAGCGGUGGGAUGCGUAGAGAUCGGGAAGAACACCAAUGGCGAAGGCAGCUCGCUGGGACGUUACGUGACGCUGAGACGCGAAAGCGUGGGGAGCAAACAGGG
This 255-nucleotide ribosomal RNA is filed under the name uncultured bacterium. RNAcentral describes it as "partial 16S ribosomal RNA". It matches the Rfam family "Bacterial small subunit ribosomal RNA", at positions 524 to 777 of the family's 1533-position model. The record is from RNAcentral.